Molecule: ribosomal RNA, 165 nt
Filed under: uncultured bacterium
Lineage: Bacteria
Description: partial 16S ribosomal RNA
Rfam family: Bacterial small subunit ribosomal RNA
Source: RNAcentral
UAGGGAAUCUUCCACAAUGGGACGAAAGUCUGAUGGAGCAACGCCGCGUGAGUGAAGAAGGGUUUCGGCUCGUAAAACUCUGUUGUUAAAGAAGAACAUAUCUGAGAGUAACUGUUCAGGUAUUGACGGUAUUUAACCAGAAAGCCACGGCUAACUACGUGCCAA